AUAACCUGCCUAAGGAAGGGGAUACCCCGGGAAACUGGGGAUAAUACCCUAUAGAUUACCGAUGCUGGAAUGCCCGGUAAUCGAAAGUUCCGGCGCCUUAGGAUGGAUCUGCGGCCGAUUAGGUUGUUGUUGGGGUAACGGCCCAACAAGCCAGUGAUCGGUACGGGUUGUGGGAGCAAGAGCCCGGAGUUGGAUUCUGAGACACGAAUCCAGGCCCUACGGGGCGCAGCAGGCGCGAAAACUUUACAAUGCGGGCAACCGUGAUAAGGGAACUUCGAGUGCCUGUAUAUGCAGGUUGUCUGGGUGUCUAACACACACUCAAAGAAAGGGCCGGGCAAGACCGGUGCCAGCCGCCGCGGUAAAUACCGGCGGCUCGAGUGGUGGCCACUUUUAUUGGGCUUAAAGCGUUCGUAGCUGGGUUGUUAAGUCCCUUGGGAAAUCCGACGGCUUAACCGUCGGGCGUCUAAGGGAUACUGGCAAUCUUGGAACCGGGAGAGGUGAGGGGUACUUCGGGGGUAGGAGUGAAAUCCUGUAAUCCUCGAGGGACCACCUGUGGCGAAGGCGCCUCACCAGAACGGCUUCGACAGUGAGGGACGAAAGCUGGGGGAGCAAACCGGAUUAGAUACCCGGGUAGUCCCAGCCGUAAACGAUGUGCGUUAGGUGUAUCGAUGACCACGAGUCAUCGAGGUGCCGAAGGGAAACCGUGAAACGUACCGCCUGGGAAGUACGGUCGCAAGGCUGAAACUUAA
RNAcentral lists this ribosomal RNA (749 nucleotides) under uncultured archaeon. RNAcentral describes it as "bacterial SSU rRNA". It matches the Rfam family "Archaeal small subunit ribosomal RNA", at positions 104 to 859 of the family's 1478-position model. The record is from RNAcentral.